Molecule: ribosomal RNA, 446 nt
Filed under: uncultured bacterium
Lineage: Bacteria
Description: partial 16S ribosomal RNA
Rfam family: Bacterial small subunit ribosomal RNA
Source: RNAcentral
CCUACGGGUGGCAGCAGUCGAGAAUCAUUCACAAUGGGGGAAACCCUGAUGGUGCGACGCCGCGUGGGGGAAUGAAGGUCUUCGGAUUGUAAACCCCUGUCAUGUGGGAGCAAAUUAAAAAGAUAGUACCACAAGAGGAAGAGACGGCUAACUCUGUGCCAGCAGCCGCGGUAAUACAGAGGUCUCAAGCGUUGUUCGGAAUCACUGGGGGUAAAGCGUGCGUAGGCUGUUUCGUAAGGCGCGUGUGAAAGGCGCGGGCUCAACCCGCGGACGGCACAUGAUACUGCGAGACUAGAGUGAUGGAGGGGGAACCGGAAUUCUCGGUGUAGCAGUGAAAUGCGUAGAUAUCGAGAGGAACACUCGUGGCGAAGGCAGGUUCCUGGACAUUAACUGACGCUGAGGCACGAAGGCCAGGGGAGCGAAAGGGAUUAGAUACCCCUGUAGUC